Molecule: long non-coding RNA, 213 nt
Filed under: Lathyrus oleraceus (garden pea)
Lineage: Eukaryota; Viridiplantae; Streptophyta; Magnoliopsida; Fabales; Fabaceae
Description: Pisum sativum (pea) long non-coding RNA (PSAT_LNC030017)
Source: RNAcentral
UUUUCAGGUCUAGGGUUGGUUUUUUAAGGCAUUGCGUAGGAUCCGGUGUUAUUGCUAAACAUUGGUUAAGUUUGUCUUCUACAAGAUAGUCAGAUGAUUUGUGAUUUUCUAACUCUGUUUCUUUUAUGCAUUCAUCAAUGAUAUCCAUGAAGUAACAUGUGUAUUCUAUUGCAGGUGCUUUCAAAAAUUGGGAAAGAAUGAACUCAAUUUUCU